RNAcentral lists this ribosomal RNA (493 nucleotides) under uncultured bacterium. RNAcentral's name for it is "partial 16S ribosomal RNA". It matches the Rfam family "Bacterial small subunit ribosomal RNA", at positions 29 to 508 of the family's 1533-position model. The record is from RNAcentral.
AGUGAACGCUGGCGGUAGGCCUAACACAUGCAAGUCGAACGGCAGCACAGUAAGAGCUUGCUCUUACGGGUGGCGAGUGGCGGACGGGUGAGGAAUACAUCGGAAUCUACUUUUUCGUGGGGGAUAACGUAGGGAAACUUACGCUAAUACCGCAUACGACCUACGGGUGAAAGCAGGGGAUCUUCGGACCUUGCGCGAUUGAAUGAGCCGAUGUCGGAUUAGCUAGUUGGCGGGGUAAAGGCCCACCAAGGCGACGAUCCGUAGCUGGUCUGAGAGGAUGAUCAGCCACACUGGAACUGAGACACGGUCCAGACUCCUACGGGAGGCAGCAGUGGGGAAUAUUGGACAAUGGGCGCAAGCCUGAUCCAGCCAUACCGCGUGGGUGAAGAAGGCCUUCGGGUUGUAAAGCCCUUUUGUUGGGAAAGAAAAGCAGCAGGCUAAUACCCCGCUGUUCUGACGGUACCCAAAGAAUAAGCACCGGCUAACUUCGUGC